AUGAACGCUGGCGGCGUGCUUAACACAUGCAAGUCGAACGGUGAAAGAGAGCUUGCUCUCUGGAUCAGUGGCGAACGGGUGAGUAACACGUGAGCAAUCUGCCCCUGACUCUGGGAUAAGCGUUGGAAACGACGUCUAAUACCGGAUACGAGCUGCGAAGGCAUCUUCAGCAGCUGGAAAGAACUUCGGUCAGGGAUGAGCUCGCGGCCUAUCAGCUAGUUGGUGAGGUAAAGGCUCACCAAGGCGUCGACGGGUAGCCG
Molecule: ribosomal RNA, 260 nt
Filed under: Microbacterium sp. ISO989_OTU1061
Lineage: Bacteria; Bacillati; Actinomycetota; Actinomycetes; Micrococcales; Microbacteriaceae
Description: partial 16S ribosomal RNA
Rfam family: Bacterial small subunit ribosomal RNA
Source: RNAcentral